GCAGUCUGCAACUCGACUGCAUGAAGCCGGAAUCGCUAGUAAUCGCGGAUCAGGAUGCCGCGGUGAAUACGUUCCCGGGUCUUGUACACACCGCCCGUCACACCAUGGGAGUCGGAAAUGCCCGAAGCCGGUGGCCUAACCGAUAAGGGAGGAGCCGUCGAAGGCAGGUCUGAUGACUGGGGUGAAGUCGUAACAAGGUAAC
RNAcentral lists this ribosomal RNA (202 nucleotides) under uncultured bacterium. RNAcentral's name for it is "partial 16S ribosomal RNA". It matches the Rfam family "Bacterial small subunit ribosomal RNA", at positions 1300 to 1500 of the family's 1533-position model. The record is from RNAcentral.